Oxyura jamaicensis (ruddy duck) is the source of this 626-nucleotide long non-coding RNA. RefSeq lists it as uncharacterized. The transcript has 2 exons. The record is from RefSeq and is a predicted model, not a curated record. NCBI's taxonomy places the organism in Eukaryota, Metazoa, Chordata, Aves, Anseriformes, Anatidae.
GAAUUAUUGCAGCUGCCAGCUCGGAUAGCGGGGUGAGAGCUCCCUGCUGCCAGCCGGGGAUGGGGACGGGGAUGCUCAGCCGCAGCCACCGACUGCCCUUUGUGCAGCGCCUGCAAAACAAGGCUGAGAAUAAAAGGCUGGCUGCACAAUGGAGCACGUCGACAUCAGCAGCCUUUCAGCAGCUUGAUUUGGGCUGCGAGCGAGAGCAGCGGUGAAUGAUGUGCAGCGGGGAAAGUGCUUUAGCAGCCUACAAAGCGCCGUAUGAAUUUAACACGAGCAGCAGCUAAUGCGAAUAAAACUGGGGAAAAGAUUCCUUGCCACGAUAACACGGCCUUCCCUUCCCCGUAGGAGUUCUGAGUACUUUGCAAGCAUCCAUUAAUUAAGCCUCAAAGGAGUUCCCAUCCCCAGUUUUACAGCCGGGGUGAGAUGAAGUGCUUUGCUCUAGUGCAACGCGCGUGGCAUGGGGAUGCACCAGAGCCAGGAGCCGAGCUCUCCCCACCGUGUUCCCUCUGUCUGCUGCUAAUUCAGCUGCCGGCCCGAGGAGUUUUUAACUUCCCAGCUCCUGACCUUGUUGGGCUGCUCAGAGGCUGGUGCCCUGCGUCCUUCUUGGGGUGUUUCCAGCCCUG